Molecule: non-coding RNA, 28 nt
Filed under: Mus musculus (house mouse)
Lineage: Eukaryota; Metazoa; Chordata; Mammalia; Rodentia; Muridae
Source: RNAcentral
GAGCCACAGUAGCAUUGAGCAUAUGGGU